GACGAACGCUGGCGGUGUGCUUAACACAUGCAAGUGGUGCGACGAACCAGAGCUUGCUCUGGGGCAAAGCCGCGAACGGGUGAGUAACACGUGGGUAAUCUACCCCGAUGACCGGGACAACCCGAGGAAACUCGGGCUAAUACCGGAUGUGGUACGGAGACAUAAGUCUCUUUACUAAAGGUAGCUUCGGCUUCCGCAUUGGGAGGGGCCCGCGGCCCAUUAGCUAGUUGGUGGGGUCAAGGCCUACCAAGGCAACGAUGGGUAGCUGGUCUGAGAGGACGAUCAGCCACACUGGGACUGAGACACGGCCCAGGCUCCUACGGGAGGCAGCAGUGGGGAAUCUUGCGCAAUGCGCGAAAGCGUGACGCAGCAACACCGCGUGAGGGAAGACGGCCUUAGGGUUGUAAACCUCUUUCAGAUGGGACGAAGGUGAUGCGGUGAAUAGCCGAUGUCAUUGACGGUACCGUCAGAAGAAGCUCCGGCUAACUACGUGCCAGCAGCCGCGGUAAU
Molecule: ribosomal RNA, 510 nt
Filed under: uncultured bacterium
Lineage: Bacteria
Description: bacterial SSU rRNA
Rfam family: Bacterial small subunit ribosomal RNA
Source: RNAcentral